Molecule: long non-coding RNA, 1286 nt
Organism: Helianthus annuus (common sunflower)
Lineage: Eukaryota; Viridiplantae; Streptophyta; Magnoliopsida; Asterales; Asteraceae
Exons: 12
Source: RefSeq, a predicted model, not a curated record
AACGCAAACACAAUUAGGGUUUCUUCUCAUCUCUCUGUCGCUUCUCUAUUCUCCAUGGAUCUUAGAUCAAAACACAAACACAAUUAAGAUUUCUUCUCCAUCUCUCUGUCGCUUCUCUAUUCUCCAUGGCUCUUAGAUGCUGCUCCAUCAAUGUGUGACCCAAACGCCUGUUCUUCUUCUACGUUGAUUCAUCAUCCAAAUUUUAUAGCCUUGGAUUAAGAUCGAGUUUUGCUUUUCAAUCGAUUAUACGCUCCAAAUGCUUAAGGCUUUAUCUCUAUGAUAUUAUUCAUUCAUUCAAAUCUUUGAUCUUCAUCUCGACGGGUGGGAGUACUCUAAAGAUGGGAAAUGUGAGAAAAUGCCUUCUACAACAUUUGUCACCAUGAAGAUAAAGUCACUUCCAUGCAUUAAACAUGAGCACAUGAUAUGGAUCUGGCUUGGAAAUGAACACCUAUUAUGCCUUAACUAAAAACACUCCUAUGAUUCCAAAUACAUGCUGAGGAUGUUGCAAUUAAGGUAGGUUGUAUGUCUCGCAAAGGUACAUACCUGCAGAAUCAAAAAUCACUGCUGAUUAUAGCCGAAGAUAUUGAAAGUGAGGCCUUAGCCACUCUCAUUCUUAAGAAAAUUUGUGUUGGCAUCAAGGUCAAACGGGGAAGCAGAAAAUAGCUAGAAGGAUUGAAAGCUGCCAAAAGUGUAUUUUAGCGAGCACUCGAUGGGUAAAAAGACAAAAUAAGAUUUUGUUGGAACCUAAGAUAAAUGAAGACUCGGCAAAGAAUGGACACGAGGAUUAUGAAUCACAUUCACAUGAAACUGUUGUGUGGAUAUGUUGUGAUGUUAAAGAUACCAGGAUAAAACUGUUUUGCCAAAUUUAUUCAAGAAAUACAUGCAAGCUGGUGCAGAUACAACUCCAAAGUAUGGUGGGACUGGAUUAGGUUUAGCAAUUUGCAAACAACUACUGGAACCACAAUUAGGUUUUUUAAAGUAAAGGAAAAACAAAAAGAAGAGGCUGGAAAUGCAUAUAGGAGCGGACCUUUAAAGAAACAAAGUGCAGGGGAAUCAUAAAGGAAUCAAGUGAUCGGUUUUCUUAAACUAAGGUUUUGCCUCUCUACCAUUACCCGAAAAGCAAAACAUUCAUUGGGAUUAAGGUUUUGCCUUUCGACCAUUACUCGAUAAUGUAGGUUUUCCUUUUAACUCAUUUGUAUGAAAACGGGCGAAAUAUGGGUGUAUUUGUUGAAUAAUGGGUCAAAUGUGCAAAACACAUUGAAUAUAUAAAGUGGAUCUUUAUCGUG